RNAcentral lists this ribosomal RNA (281 nucleotides) under uncultured prokaryote. RNAcentral describes it as "partial 16S ribosomal RNA". It matches the Rfam family "Bacterial small subunit ribosomal RNA", at positions 524 to 803 of the family's 1533-position model. The record is from RNAcentral.
UACGUAGGGGGCUAGCGUUAUCCGGAAUUACUGGGCGUAAAGGGUGCGUAGGUGGUUUCUUAAGUCAGAGGUGAAAGGCUACGGCUCAACCGUAGUAAGCCUUUGAAACUGGGAAACUUGAGUGCAGGAGAGGGGAGUAGAAUUCCUAGUGUAGCGGUGAAAUGCGUAGAUAUUAGGAGGAAUACCAGUUGCGAAGGCGGCUCUCUGGACUGUAACUGACACUGAGGCACGAAAGCGUGGGGAGCAAACAGGAUUAGAUACCCCCGUAGUCCCUGAGCGGG